GCAUAUCAAUAAGCGGAGGAAAAGAAACCAACAGGGAUUGCCUCAGUAACGGCGAGUGAAGCGGCAAAAGCUCAAAUUUGAAAUCUGGCUCUUUCAGGGUCCGAGUUGUAAUUUGUAGAAGAUGUUUCGGGUGUGGUCCCAGUCUAAGUUCCCUGGAACUGGACAUCACAGAGGGUGAGAAUCCCGUAUGUGACUGGGUACCUACGUCCAUGUGAAACUCUUUCGACGAGUCGAGUUGUUUGGGAAUGCAGCUCAAAAUGGGUGGUAAAUUUCAUCUAAAGCUAAAUAUUGGCCAGAGACCGAUAGCGCACAAGUAGAGUGAUCGAAAGAUGAAAAGCACUUUGGAAAGAGAGUUAAACAGUACGUGAAAUUGUUGAAAGGGAAGGGCAUGCAAUCAGACUUGCGCCUAGUUGAUCAUCCGGGCUUUUGCCCGGUGCACUCGAUUAGGCUCAGGCCAGCAUCAGUUUAGAGGGUUGGAUAAAGGCCUUGGGAAUGUGACCCCUCUCGGGGGGUGUUAUAGCCCAAGGUGCAAUGCAGCCUCUCUGGACUGAGGACCGCGCUUCGGCUAGGAUGCUGGCGUAAUGGUUGUAUGCCGCCCGUCUUGAAACACGGACCAAGGAGUCUAACAUCUAUGCGAGUAUUUGGGUGUAAAACCCAUAUGCGUAAUGAAAGUGAACGGAGGUGAGAGCCCUUAAGGGUGCAUCAUCGACCGAUCCUGAUGUCUUCGGAUGGAUUUGAGUAAGAGCAUAGCUGUUGGGACCCGAAAGAUGGUGAACUAUGCGUGAAUAGGGUGAAGCCAGAGGAAACUCUGGUGGAGGCUCGCAGCGGUUCUGACGUGCAAAUCGAUCGUCAAAUUUGCGUAUAGGGGCGAAAGACUAAUCGAACCAUCUAGUAGCUGGUUCCUGCCGAAG
RNAcentral lists this ribosomal RNA (911 nucleotides) under Lambertella hicoriae. Its description in RNAcentral is "LSU rRNA". It matches the Rfam family "Eukaryotic large subunit ribosomal RNA", at positions 38 to 966 of the family's 3401-position model. The record is from RNAcentral. Lineage: Eukaryota; Fungi; Ascomycota; Leotiomycetes; Helotiales; Rutstroemiaceae.